CCCGCACAAGCGGUGGAGCAUGUGGUUAAUCGAAGCAACGCGAAGAACCUUACCAGGUCUUGACAUCCCGAUGCUAUUUCUAGAGAUAGAAAGUUACUUCGGUACAUCGGUGACAGGUGGUGCAUGGUUGUCGUCAGCUCGUGUCGUGAGAUGUUGGGUUAAGUCCCGCAACGAGCGCAACCCCUAUUGUUAGUUGCCAUCAUUCAGUUGGGCACUCUAGCGAGACUGCCGGUAAUAAACCGGAGGAAGUGGGGAUGACGUCAAAUCAUCAUGCCCCUUAUGACCUGGGCUACACACGUGCUACAAUGGUUGGUACAACGAGUUGCGAGUCGGUGACGGCGAGCUAAUCUCUUAAAGCCAAUCUCAGUUCGGAUUGUAGGCUGCAACUCGCCUACAUGAAGUCGGAAUCGCUAGUAAUCGCGGAUCAGCACGCCGCGGUGAAUACGUUCCCGGGCCUU
This 458-nucleotide ribosomal RNA is filed under the name uncultured Streptococcus sp. RNAcentral's name for it is "bacterial SSU rRNA". It matches the Rfam family "Bacterial small subunit ribosomal RNA", at positions 920 to 1382 of the family's 1533-position model. Lineage: Bacteria; Bacillati; Bacillota; Bacilli; Lactobacillales; Streptococcaceae. The record is from RNAcentral.